AUACGUAGGGUGCAAGCGUUAAUCGGAAUUACUGGGCGUAAAGCGUGCGCAGGCGGUUUUGUAAGACAGAGGUGAAAUCCCCGGGCUCAACCUGGGAACUGCCAUUGUGACUGCAAGGCUGGAGUGCGGCAGAGGGGGAUGGAAUUCCGCGUGUAGCAGUGAAAUGCGUAGAUAUGGGGAGGAACACCGAUGGCGAAGGCAAUCCCCUGGGCCUGCACUGACGCUCAUGCACGAAAGCGUGGGGAGCAAACAGGAUUAGAUACCCUGGUAGUCCACGCCCUAAACGAUGUCAACUGGUUGUUGGGGAUUUAUUUUCUCAGUAACGAAGCUAACGCGUGAAGUUGACCGCCUGGGGAGUACGGCCGCAAGGUUAAAACUUAAAGGAAUUGACGGGG
This 395-nucleotide ribosomal RNA is filed under the name uncultured bacterium. RNAcentral describes it as "partial 16S ribosomal RNA". It matches the Rfam family "Bacterial small subunit ribosomal RNA", at positions 523 to 918 of the family's 1533-position model. The record is from RNAcentral.